Molecule: ribosomal RNA, 216 nt
Filed under: Glomeromycotina sp.
Lineage: Eukaryota; Fungi; Glomeromycota
Description: partial small subunit ribosomal RNA
Rfam family: Eukaryotic small subunit ribosomal RNA (bases 44-216)
Source: RNAcentral
GGGUCAGUAGGUUGGUCGUGCCACCGGUACGUACUGGUCUCACUGAUUCCUCCUUCCUGAAGAACCGUAAUGCCAUUAAUUUGGUGUUGCGGGGAAACAGGACUGUUACUUUGAAAAAAUUAGAGUGUUUAAAGCAAGCUAACGCUUGAAUACAUUAGCAUGGAAUAAUGAAAUAGGACGACCGACCCUAUUUUGUUGGUUUCUAGGAUUGACGUA